RNAcentral lists this ribosomal RNA (386 nucleotides) under uncultured bacterium. RNAcentral describes it as "bacterial SSU rRNA". It matches the Rfam family "Bacterial small subunit ribosomal RNA", at positions 28 to 407 of the family's 1533-position model. The record is from RNAcentral.
GACGAACGCUGGCGGCGUACUUAAUGCAUGCAAGUCGAGCGGGGUCCAUCCCCUGGCAACAGGGGUGAAGACCUAGCGGCGAACGGGUGCGUAACACGUGAGCAACCUGCCCCGAAGUCUGGGAUAACACCGGGAAACCGGUGCUAAUACCGGAUAUCCCCACCGGACCGCAUGGCCUGGUGAGGAAAGAUUUAUCGCUUCGGGAGGGACUCGCGGGCUAUCAGCUUGUUGGUGGGGUAACGGCCACCAAGGCAUCGACGGCUAGCUGGUCUGAGAGGACGACCAGCCACACUGGGACUGAGACACGGCCCAGACUCCUACGGGAGGCAGCAGCAGGGAAUAUUGCGCAAUGGGCGAAAGCCUGACGCAGUAACGCCGCGUGGGGA